UUGAAGUAAGAGUGAGUGGAGAGCUUCAGUAUUAGCAAUCACCGACUGAUGAAGCUUUGUGUGAUCAGUCACUUAGUUAUUAUCGACUGAGAGGAACAAAAGAAGAGAAGUGAGAGCGACUGAAACUUCUUUCUCAUCUUCAUUUCCGAAGCCGUGCGAAAGAGUGAGAGUGAAGUAGCAAUUCUGGUGCCUUCCAGCCACAACCGAGUGAGUGAUAAGAGGAGGAAGUCUGGAGUGAUCACCGAGAGAAGGAAUGAGAACCGACAGCAGGCUUCACCAUUUCUUCAUCCUUUUAUCAUCCCAAACCGAUAGAAGUGAGUGAAAGAGGAGAAACCAGCUUGCAACUUCAGAUAUCAGCAGCAACUGUGAGGAAAAUAGUUGGAGCAAGAGCUAGAGGAACCGAAACAGAGGAAGUUGGAGUAAUCUGCCAUUAUCGAAUUUAAGGGAAAAAAGGUAAAGAAAUUCUGUAAUCACCUUUUGUUUACGAGAUAUCAGAGAGUAGAUUGAAUGCAUGUUAGUUUAGCAAGGGAAUAACAAGUUUUAACCAAAGGAAAAAUCUGUUAAAGAGGAAAAACUUGGAACAGGAUUGAAGUGCAGGAACGGGGAGUUAUUAUCUAAUGUUGCAGCCUGUGAUUAGUGUAAAACUGGAAACUAAUGGUAGAUUUUGCAUGUAAUACGCUGGUCUCUGUUGUUUGAGAGGUUUAGUUGAAGAAAACUUGGGGAAAAGUUGGAUUUUGGAUGGAAACCAAGGGAAGUUUUCUGCUGCAAAAUUUUCCAGCUUAUCCGAGAGAGAAAAUGGAUAGAUUCCUAGCUGUUUUCAUGAUUUUUGGUCUUGAUUAUCUAUGUUAAACUGUAAUAUAUGAUAUAUAAGAGCUUGGUCUGAACAUGCAUGAAAGAUUUGAGCAUGAACUGAAGAGAUUAUUAGAGAGAAAAAUUGUGUUAAGAUUGCUGCUAUAAUUUUGGAAAAAAAUGCCGAGGGAGGAAAACUGAGAGAUGAACCAGUGUUGUUCUGUUUUGUCCUUGGCUGCCAUCUUGUGUGUUUGCUGAGGGUACUCUGUAGUUUAGCAACCAACUCUUGCAUGUGGAUUUUAACGAACAAAAAUGAAGCAAUCUGUUGAGAGAGAGAAGGAUAGCCGAGAGGGAGGGAAUUAAGUGAGAACCAUUUUUCCUUUCCAAUUUCAAUUCUGUGAACUCUCUUACCUGACAUUCGAUGAUACUCUGUAGUUUAAUCAGUAUAUUAACUCAAUGAAUUGGGUUUAAACUGAAUGAAUUAGGGAGGAAAAGCUAUGAAAUGUGUAGUUCCUUACUUCACGGCCGGGAGAGAAGAAAAAAAAAUAGACUGAUCAGUUUUCUUUUCAUCUAAGUGAACUGCACCAUCUUUUGUGUUAUGUACAAGGCUCAUUUGUAGUUUAAUAAACGUGGUUAACAUGUCUAGUUGGGAUACAAACUUGGAAGGAGGAACUUGAGUGAAACGGCAAACAUUGGACCGAUAUAUACAUAGCUAAGGGAUUGCUUAAAAGCUGUGAUGGUUAAGACUGAUUUGUGUGCAUAGUUUGCACAAAACAUUGGUUGCAAUUAAAUGUUUCUUAUCCUAAUUCAUGUUAGAUUAAAUGUAAGUUAAGUAGUUGGUGAUUUAAUUAAGUGAAAAAUGAACUUAUUGGAUGAAAACUUGAAUUGAAGUUUUGUUGCUGAAUUUAUGUAGAUAGGUUGUAUGGCAAUGAGUUAAAACUUAUUUGAUAUUUUAUAAACUCUGAAGUAAUUUGUUAUGGCCGUAUUCAUGAAAUGACUUCUAAUCGCUUAAAAUUGGCUUUCUUAGUAAUUCAAAGACUAUAAAUUGUGAGAGGUGAAGGUUGUGGACUAAGUUAAUUUACAAAUAACUUAAAGUUUAGUUAGUUUAAAAAGGGAAUGGAGUAUCUAUAAGCCAUAAUUGAUAUUGGAUUGAGAAAGUAUAUUGGAAUGAAUGAGUAUAUAAGUUAAACUUGAAGAUAGGUAUGUUUCAUGGUUUGAAAAUGAUAAAGUUAAUAAGUUUUGAAAAUAAAAGAAUAUUAAGAAUGUUAAAUUUAUAUAUUAAGGUCAAACUUGAUUUUAAUAGUUUAAAUAAUAAAGUAAGAAUGAUAAGUGAUCACUUACGAAUUAUAAAUUUACCAUUGAAAUUAUUAAUUUGCCCAAGAAGUAGCUGUGAGCCAGGAAACCAACCCAAGGCUCAAGAGUAAUUUACUUGGAUAAUUGGUGAGUAUUUUCCGAAUUUAUGUGUUAAACUGCUUAUGUGUACCUAACUGAAAUUAUGUAACAAAUGUGCUUUUUAUGAAUUAUUACUAAAUGAUUCAGUGUAAAGUGUAUCUCAAUUGUCCCUCGCCUUCUAAGUCGGGAGUGUACUUUAUCGCACUCGACUUAGUUAAGUUUGAAGGUCGAUAAUUGACUGAAUGUUACUGUAAGUGUGCAUGAAUGUAAGCCGUAUGUGUUCCUUGCCGCAUGGGCUGAACUGGGCCCCAAAACCCUCUGUUCAACGGACUAUUCGAACCAACAAAGGGCUUGGUUGGGUAGGACGGUAGCUUUGGGUAAAUGUUUCAGUAUACUCGAGUAUUACCACGAGGUUGGGAGAUCAUUGCACUAAUUACUGAAUGUAGGGGAUUGUUUAUUGUUUUGGAGGACAUAAGGAGGUGAAUUGGGAGAAAGUACAGUGAUAUUGAAAUGAAUGUGCAAUGAUAUUGAAAUGAAUGUACAAUGACAGUGAAAUGAGUGUCUCUUGACACUGAAAUGAAUGCUCAAUGGCAUUGAAGUGGUUCUAAUGCGAGCAUUGUAUCCUUUUAAAAGCGAUUGUAUAGUGAAGUGUUCUCUCAAUUGUUUAAUGAAAGUGAUUGUAUAGUGAAAUGUGCACUACUUACUUAAUUGUACUGAUUUAAGUGUUUAUUAAAUGUUACUUGCUCGGCAAGACUCACUGAGCUUUAGCUCAACCCUUUAGUUUUGUUGUCCUUACAGGAGUUGGUGGUUGGGAAACGAAUGAGGGAUCUUAGGAAGUUAACGUGAAGACUUUUGUGAUUGUAAAUCCUUUAGUUUCAUAUUAUAGUUGAAACUUUUGUAUUGAUCUUAGUGUUGUAAAAGAUUUGAGUGUUUGGUUUUGGUCUAUCAAAAUGUUAUCUCUGAAGUUAAUGUAAGUGAAUGAGCCCCGGAGAGAGCCAAGCAGGCGAUCCGCUAACUUUUAGGAUAUGCCCUAGGAGAAGGUGGGGUCGUCACAAAAGGGAUCUUCUAUAGUGCCACCAAAAUCACCAUUAUCAUAGAUGUGUUUCCUUUUUGCUUCUUUUUUCACUCCAAAACUAGUCUGGAGCUAUAAAAUUCACCUUAUUGAAAGGCCAUAACAUGUUUGGUG
Molecule: long non-coding RNA, 3367 nt
Filed under: Coffea arabica (coffee)
Lineage: Eukaryota; Viridiplantae; Streptophyta; Magnoliopsida; Gentianales; Rubiaceae
Description: long non-coding RNA (CARA_LNC004203)
Source: RNAcentral